This is a long non-coding RNA of Brienomyrus brachyistius, 384 nucleotides long. RefSeq lists it as uncharacterized. Lineage: Eukaryota; Metazoa; Chordata; Actinopteri; Osteoglossiformes; Mormyridae. The transcript is spliced from 3 exons. The record is from RefSeq and is a predicted model, not a curated record.
CAGGAGAGCUUUCAGUGCUGGGCUACUCAAAUCACGGUCCUCAAGGUCCGAGCCCUGAAAUAUAUCAGGAGAGCUUUCAGUGCUGGGCUACUCAAAUCACGGUCCUCAAGGUCCGAGCCCUGAAAUAUAUCAGGAGAGCUUUCAGUGCUGGGCUACUCAAAUCACGGUCCUCAAGGUCCGAGCCCUGAAAUAUAUCAGGAGAGCUUUCAGUGCUGGGCUACUCAAAUCACGGUCCUCAAGGUCCGAGCCCUGAAAUAUAUCAGGAGAGCUUUCAGUGCUGGGCUACUCAAAUCACGGUCCUCAAGGUCCGAGCCCUGAAAUAUAUCAGGAGAGCUUUCAGUGCUGGGCUACUCAAAUCACGGUCCUCAAGGUCCGAGCCCUGAA